GAAAUGUUGACCUCGGAUCAGGUAGGAAUACCCGCUGAACUUAAGCAUAUCAAUAAGCGGAGGAAAAGAAACCAACAGGGAUUGCCCCAGUAACGGCGAGUGAAGCGGCAACAGCUCAAAUUUGAAAUCUGGUCCCUAGGGCCCGAGUUGUAAUUUGUAGAGGAUGCUUUUGGUGAGGUGCCGCCCGAGUUCCCUGGAACGGGACGCCACAGAGGGUGAGAGCCCCGUCUGGCUGGCCGCCGAGCCUCUGUAAAGCUCCUUCGACGAGUCGAGUAGUUUGGGAAUGCUGCUCAAAAUGGGAGGUAUAUGUCUUCUAAAGCUAAAUAUUGGCCAGAGACCGAUAGCGCACAAGUAGAGUGAUCGAAAGAUGAAAAGCACCUUGAAAAGAGGGUUAAAUAGUACGUGAAAUUGUUGAAAGGGAAGCGCUUGUGACCAGACUUGGGCGCGGCGGAUCAUCCGGGGUUCUCUCCGGUGCACUUCGCCGCGUCUAGGCCAGCAUCAGUUCGUCGCGGGGGAAAAAGGCUUCGGGAACGUGGCUCCUCCGGGAGUGUUAUAGCCCGUUGCAUAAUACCCUGCGGUGGACUGAGGACCGCGCAUCUGCAAGGAUGCUGGCGUAAUGGUCACCAGCGACCCGUCUUGAAACACGGACCAAGGAGUCGUCUUCGUAUGCGAGUGUUCGGGUGUCAAACCCCUACGCGUAAUGAAAGUGAACGCAGGUGAGAGCUUCGGCGCAUCAUCGACCGAUCCUGAUGUUCUCGGAUGGAUUUGAGUAAGAGCAUACGGGGCCGGACCCGAAAGAAGGUGAACUAUGCCUGUAUAGGGUGAAGCCAGAGGAAACUCUGGUGGAGGCUCGCAGCGGUUCUGACGUGCAAAUCGAUCGUCAAAUAUGGGCAUGGGGGCGAAAGACUAAUCGAAC
Molecule: ribosomal RNA, 916 nt
Filed under: Trichoderma sp. 1 PC-2011
Lineage: Eukaryota; Fungi; Ascomycota; Sordariomycetes; Hypocreales; Hypocreaceae
Description: LSU rRNA
Rfam family: Eukaryotic large subunit ribosomal RNA
Source: RNAcentral